AGGGCGAGGCUCAGCCAUUGCACUCCGGCUGUGCUGACCCGUGCGAAUUCCCCAAAUGUGGGAAUCUCG
Molecule: small nuclear RNA, 69 nt
Filed under: Anabas testudineus (climbing perch)
Lineage: Eukaryota; Metazoa; Chordata; Actinopteri; Anabantiformes; Anabantidae
Description: U1 spliceosomal RNA (ENSATEG00000025402.1)
Source: RNAcentral